This 1111-nucleotide long non-coding RNA is filed under the name Sus scrofa (pig). Its description in RNAcentral is "lncRNA (ENSSSCG00030014834.1)". The record is from RNAcentral. Lineage: Eukaryota; Metazoa; Chordata; Mammalia; Artiodactyla; Suidae.
UUUUUUGGAAGUUUCAGGAUAGGUGUUAACUCUUCUCUAAAUGUUUGGUAGAGUUUGCCUGUAAAGCUCUCUGGUCCUGGACUUUUGAUUGUUGGGAGUUUAAAAAUUACUGAUGCAGAUAUCCUGUCAUGGCUCAGUGGAAACGAAUACGACCAGUAACCGUAAGUACACAAGUUCCAUCCCUGGCUCAGUGGGUUAAGGAUCCUGAGUUGCCAUGAGCUGUGGUGUAGGGAUCAAAUCAGCAUUCUUACGGAUACUAGUAGGAUUUGUUUCUGCUGUGCCACGAGAACUCCCUGCUGUUGAAUUCUGAAUGCACUGUGCCACAGCGGGAACGCCACAUAUUUUUUUUUGAAUACAUGGAACAUUCAAACAAUAAUUUUUGAAGAAUAAAAUUAUUUUUUGUCACAACAAAUUAUAAAAAGGGGCAGCACAAGAGAAUUUUGGGAGGUGGUAGAACUGUUCCAUAUCUCAAUUAUGGUUAUUACAUGAUUUGGCAUUUGUGAAAACUCAGAAUUAUACAUCAAAAAGAGUGAAUCUUACUAUGUAAAUUUAAAAAUUAAAAUGUUUUAAGAGGGGGGAAAAUAUCAUUUUAUAGCCCAUUAAUAACCUUUAGGGGCAACCAAAAUGCAACGCUGGUCUUAUAAAGAAUAAUAUUCUAGUGGUAGAAAUUUAGUUGCUCAAUCAAAUUUCGUGGAGAGAUAUUUUCAGAGAUUUUAGAAUUUUUAAACCGGGAAAUCAUCUAUCCACUGUAGUAUUAUACUGUAGCUUUUUUUGGCUUACAGAUCCAUUUUUCCCCUCUCCCACAUAAGACUGUUAGAUUCCAAAGGGCAUCUCCCUGUGUCCCUGUUUAGUUAUCUUGGUAUCCCCAGACUCUACCUAGUAUAUCUGACACCUAGUGGAUACUCAACGAAUAUUUGCUGAAGAAGUAGAAGUCCUGUUUUAAGCACAGAAGGAAAAGUGAAAGUAAAUAUGAUACAGCCCCUGCUCUCAAAAAAACCUUAAACCUUAGUGGCCAUGUACCCUCAAUAUAGUUAGUAGUACACAAGCACAAGUGGGAAAUGAAAGAGGAAGGAGGUAGGGGAAGAUUUGGUGUAGGCUGACUACUUUUUCU